UACGGAGGGGGCUAGCGUUGUUCGGAAUUACUGGGCGUAAAGCGCACGUAGGCGGCUUUGUAAGUUAGAGGUGAAAGCCCGGGGCUCAACUCCGGAAUUGCCUUUAAGACUGCAUCGCUAGAAUUGUGGAGAAGUAAGUGGAAUUCCGAGUGUAGAGGUGAAAUUCGUAGAUAUUCGGAAGAACACCAGUGGCGAAGGCGACUUACUGGACACAUAUUGACGCUGAGGUGCGAAAGCGUGGGGAGCAAACAGG
RNAcentral lists this ribosomal RNA (253 nucleotides) under uncultured bacterium. RNAcentral's name for it is "partial 16S ribosomal RNA". It matches the Rfam family "Bacterial small subunit ribosomal RNA", at positions 524 to 776 of the family's 1533-position model. The record is from RNAcentral.